UCCACGCCGUAAACGAUGUUCACUCGCUGUUUGCGAUACACAGCAAGCGGCUAAGCGAAAGCAUUAAGUGAACCACCUGGGGAGUACGAUCGCAAGGUUGAAACUCAAAGGAAUUGACGGGGGCCCGCACAAGCGGAGGAACAUGUGGUUUAAUUCGAUGAUACGCGAGGAACCUUACCUGGGCUUAAAUGUAGAUUGCAUAGGGCAGAAAUGCCCUUUCCCUUCGGGGCUGUUUACAAGGUGCUGCAUGGUUGUCGUCAGCUCGUGCCGUGAGGUGUCGGGUUAAGUCCCAUAACGAGCGCAACCCCUAUCGUUAGUUGCCAGCGGGUCAAGCCGGGGACUCUAGCGAGACUGCCACCGUAAGGUGAGAGGA
This 373-nucleotide ribosomal RNA is filed under the name uncultured bacterium. RNAcentral's name for it is "bacterial SSU rRNA". It matches the Rfam family "Bacterial small subunit ribosomal RNA", at positions 794 to 1170 of the family's 1533-position model. The record is from RNAcentral.